Molecule: transfer RNA, 72 nt
Filed under: Bos taurus (domestic cattle)
Lineage: Eukaryota; Metazoa; Chordata; Mammalia; Artiodactyla; Bovidae
Also listed under: 2 other names
Rfam family: tRNA
About the family: Transfer RNA (tRNA) molecules are approximately 80 nucleotides in length. Their secondary structure includes four short double-helical elements and three loops (D, anti-codon, and T loops).
Source: Rfam by way of RNAcentral
UCCCUGGUGGCUCAGACGGUAAAGCAUCUGUCUACAAUGCAGGAGACCCAGGUUCAAGCCCUGGGUUAGGAA